Molecule: ribosomal RNA, 793 nt
Filed under: uncultured Dysgonomonas sp.
Lineage: Bacteria; Pseudomonadati; Bacteroidota; Bacteroidia; Bacteroidales; Dysgonomonadaceae
Description: bacterial SSU rRNA
Rfam family: Bacterial small subunit ribosomal RNA
Source: RNAcentral
UUAAAANNCCGUUGANACUGUCGUUCUUGAGUAUAUUNGANGUNGGCGGANUUNGUAGUGUAGCGGUGAAAUGCAUAGAUAUUACGAAGAACUCCAAUUGCGAAGGCAGCUUACUAAACUAUAACUGACGCUGAAGCACGAAAGCGUGGGUAUCAAACAGGAUUAGAUACCCUGGUAGUCCGCGCCGUAAACGAUGAUUACUAGCUGUUUGUGAUAUUACAAUAAGCGGCUAAGCGAAAGCGAUAAGUAAUCCACCUGGGGAGUACGCCGGCAACGGUGAAACUCAAAGGAAUUGACGGGGGCCCGCACAAGCGGAGGAACAUGUGGUUUAAUUCGNUGAUACGCGAGGAACCUUACCCGGGCUUGAAAUGCAUCUGACCNGCCAAGAAAUUGGUCUUCUAACAAUAGCAGAUGUGUAGGUGCUGCAUGGUUGUCGUCAGCUCGUGCCGUGAGGUGUCGGCUUAAGUGCCAUAACGAGCGCAACCCACAUUGUUAGUUACUAACAGGUCAAGCUGAGGACUCUGACAAGACUGCCAGCGUAAGCUGUGAGGAAGGUGUGGAUGACGUCAAAUCAGCACGGCCCUUACGUCCGGGGCGACACACGUGUUACAAUGGAUGGUACAGAGGGUCGCUACCUAGUGAUAGGAUGCCAAUCUCCAAAGCCAUUCCCAGUUCGGAUUGGAGUCUNCAACUCGACUCUAUGAAGCUGGAUUCGCUAGUAAUCGCGGAUCANCAUGCCGCGGUGAAUACGUUCCCGGGCCUUGUACACACCGCCCGUCAUCUUGCUGAAAAA